Long non-coding RNA from Hemibagrus wyckioides, 1399 nucleotides. RefSeq lists it as uncharacterized. The record is from RefSeq and is a predicted model, not a curated record. NCBI's taxonomy places the organism in Eukaryota, Metazoa, Chordata, Actinopteri, Siluriformes, Bagridae. The transcript has 5 exons.
UGAGCCGCGAGUACAGCAUGAGUGCGGCUCCGAUGUUUUUAUUUUCAUUUCUGUUGCUCAUUUAAUUUGUCUUCUUUAAAUAAAUAACACUGUUGCUAGUAAAAAAUAAAAACCCCUCGAGAUGUGAAAUGCGACCUGUGUGAGCUUCGUGUGAUUUCUGCUGCAACUUGAGUUAGGCGAGCGAUCCCUUACGUUAAUGCUAACUCAGCGCGUUACAUACACACAGAAGAGGACAACAAACACGAGGCUCAUUUUGUGUCUUUUUUUUUAUUUGUUUUCUUUAGCACAGAGAUAUCUCGAUCUGUACACCAUCAGAAAUCUGCUGGGGAGUGGAGGCUUUGGAUCAGUGUACGAAGGUGUUCGUAGGAAAGAUGGACAGCAGGUUGCCAUUAAACACCUCCGUAAGGACGGCUCGGACCUGUACAUCACCGUUAUGUUCGACUACUGAAGCCUCAAAAAUCUCGUAAGGCCAUGGCAGUUUUCCAGCACAGGUGUGUGUCCCUCUGCAGCUGGGGACAGACCUGCUCCUCAACAGAGGAUAAGUAAAUGUCCAGUGCAGGCCUGUGGACACUCAUCACUUUUCUUCAGAUUCUCCCACUCAAGUUAUGGAGGAGAAUUUGGCAUACCGGCGCAAGCUGGUGCUGUUCCCAUCGAGCCCAGCACUUCUAUCAAGCACGGUCCCCACACCGAACCCACAUUCGGACUCUGGACAUGGACCCUGGACCCUCGGCAACCAGCACUCCCCAGCCCAGCAGCACUCCACCCUACGUGAUGGUCCAUCAGCCGAGACGUGUUCCUCCAACAGCAUUCAACCACCUGUGCCACGUCAACUACGUGCAUACAUUAGGUGAGUGGAAGGCCAACACUUGCAGAAAGUGUGGACAUCAGCAACUGGACAUAGCCAGGACAAGGCCAGAAUUUAUUGUCCAGUGACAGAGACGAUGACAAAAGCAGUUGCUCAAAAAAAUUAAGAAAAUAUAGAUAUGUUGCAUAUAGCGCUUGUAUUCUUACAAAGUUAUAUGUAUAUUUUAUAUUGAAAUAUUUGAUGUUUAAAUAUUAUUUUUCUCUUUUGUUUAUAGUUUAAUAUAUUGCUAUUUUAUAAUUUGUUCCUGUAUUUAUUGUUAGGGUACAUGUCAUCUAUUAUUUGAAUUGUAUUUGCACAUUAUUCAACUGCUGCUAUACGUACUGCAUUGUCUCUUUGCACUGUCUUUUGUCUUGCACUGUUUGCACCAAGUUGCACACGAUGUACUUUAUGUAGCUAGGACAGCUUACUUUCUGUCCUUAGCUCUCUGUGUUGUUUUGUAAUUAUAUGUUGUUGUGUUGUUUAUGUAGCACCAGGGUCCUGGAGAAACGUUGUCUCAUUUCACUGUGUACUGCAUCAGCUAUAUGUGGUCAAAAG